RNAcentral lists this ribosomal RNA (426 nucleotides) under uncultured Spartobacteria bacterium. Its description in RNAcentral is "partial 16S ribosomal RNA". It matches the Rfam family "Bacterial small subunit ribosomal RNA", at positions 355 to 774 of the family's 1533-position model. The record is from RNAcentral. Lineage: Bacteria; Pseudomonadati; Verrucomicrobiota; Spartobacteria.
UCGAGAAUUUUUCACAAUGGGGGAAACCCUGAUGGAGCGACGCCGCGUGGAGGAUGACGGUUUUCGGAUUGUAAACUCCUGUCAUUAGAGAACAAGGCACAUGGUUUAACUGGCCGUGUGUUGAUAGUAUCUGAAGAGGAAGAGACGGCUAACUCUGUGCCAGCAGCCGCGGUAAUACAGAGGUCUCAAGCGUUGUUCGGAUUCAUUGGGCGUAAAGGGUGCGUAGGUGGCGAUGUAAGUCGGAUGUGAAAUCUCCAAGCUCAACUUGGAAACUGCAUUCGAUACUGCGUUGCUUGAGGAUUGUAGAGGGCAUUGGAAUUCACGGUGUAGCAGUGAAAUGCGUAGAUAUCGUGAGGAAGACCAGUGGCGAAGGCGAAUGCCUGGGCAAUUCCUGACACUGAGGCACGAAGGCCAGGGGAGCGAACG